AGUCACUGACAUUAGAUACCCGGGUAGUCCAGGGUGUAAACGCUGCAGACUUGGUGUUGGAAGCCCUUUGGGGCAUUCAGUGCCGGAGAGAAGUUGUUAAGUCUGCUACUUGGGGAGUACGUCCGCAAGGAUGAAACUUAAAGGAAUUGGCGGGGGAGCACCGCAACGGGAGGAGCGUGCGGUUUAAUUGGAUUCAACACCGUAAACUCACCAGGGAAGACUGUUACAUGAAGGCCGAGAUGAAGACUCUGCUAGAUUUUCAG
RNAcentral lists this ribosomal RNA (263 nucleotides) under uncultured archaeon. RNAcentral's name for it is "partial 16S ribosomal RNA". It matches the Rfam family "Archaeal small subunit ribosomal RNA", at positions 719 to 982 of the family's 1478-position model. The record is from RNAcentral.